GACGAACGCUGGCGGCGUGCUUAACACAUGCAAGUCGAACGGAAAGGCCCUGCUUUUGUGGGGUGCUCGAGUGGCGAACGGGUGAGUAACACGUGAGUAACCUGCCCUUGACUUUGGGAUAACUUCAGGAAACUGGGGCUAAUACCUGAUAGGAGCUCCUGCUGCAUGGUGGGGGUUGGAAAGUUUCGGCGGUUGGGGAUGGACUCGCGGCUUAUCAGCUUGUUGGUGGGGUAGUGGCUUACCAAGGCUUUGACGGGUAGCCGGCCUGAGAGGGUGACCGGCAACAUUGGGACUGAGAGACGGCCCAGACUCCUACGGGAGGCAGCAGUGGGGAAUAUUGAACAAUGGGCGGAAGCCUGAUGCAGCAACGCCGCGUGCGGGAUGACGGCCUUCGGGUUGUAAACCGCUUUCGCCUGUGACGAAGCGUGAGUGACGGUAAUGGGUAAAGAAGCACCGGCUAACUACGUG
This 468-nucleotide ribosomal RNA is filed under the name uncultured bacterium. RNAcentral's name for it is "partial 16S ribosomal RNA". It matches the Rfam family "Bacterial small subunit ribosomal RNA", at positions 28 to 507 of the family's 1533-position model. The record is from RNAcentral.